Myripristis murdjan (pinecone soldierfish) is the source of this 1476-nucleotide long non-coding RNA. RefSeq lists it as uncharacterized. The transcript has 4 exons. The record is from RefSeq and is a predicted model, not a curated record. Lineage: Eukaryota; Metazoa; Chordata; Actinopteri; Holocentriformes; Holocentridae.
AUCAACAUAGCAGCCUCUGCCAAGAUGUUUCCUGGUCAAAUAUCAUGUGAAUAUACAAGAAUGACAUUUUAUGAAAUCACCCAACUAUAUACAAGAGCCAUUGGCUGCUGUUUAAUAUUAGCAUCUUAGAUAAUUCUUGCUCAAUAUGGCAGCUAAAAAUGGCAUGUAAAGGGGGAUUUGGUCAGAGACAACAAGGGCAGAAUAAUGUGGAAGUAUAAAGUCUGCAUCAUGCCAAUAAAGCACCUGAGAAACUGUACUUGAAGAAGCUUACCGAAAAUCUACUUUAGAUAGAAAUCUUUCAAGCCACAUUAGUAAGUAGCUCAUAAGAUAAUAAAACAAUAAUUAGUGACUGCAACACUUAAUAUGUGAAGGAAAUGUACAGUUGAUAUACUGGUAGUAUCAUGCAUUGCAGACACUACAACAGGCAAUUAAACUUGACAUUUAGGGCAUCACAGGAGUCACUUAACCGUGAUCACGUCUGACAAAGACACAAAGAAGCAAAUGCUAUGUUUGAACCAUGCCACCCAUACAGCGGAACGGAACGGCUGGCUGUCGUGACAUGUUUAAUGUAUGUGGCUCGCUCACUGUAGCGCCCACAUUGGUCCCUCUCGGUAUCCGUAGGUUGUCCUACCACAGUUGCCCAAAGACAGUCUGACGGCGGACUGGAUUUCUUAGCAAUAUGGAAGCACUUUGGAUUGCAGCUAAGUCGGAAAAUCCGCCAGACUGCAGAUGGACAGCUUUUAUACUGACACUGACAUUACUUAUUUUAAUGAAUGGAAGUGAUUUUUUUUCUGUCUCUGCUAGCUGCAGUGGCAGUAAGGUUAAAGUUGAUUAAUUGUGUUUAAGAGCCUUUGUAAGAACUUCCUAAAAUUUCAUCUCAUGUCAUUUCUUGAGAUGUGUUGUAAAAGACAUUUGUGAAGCCAGUUCCUAAGCAUUCACACGGUUUUUACAAGAUUCCCAGCUGAACUUAUUUGCCACUGGUUAAUAGUAGUAUCUAAGAAGCCAACUCAUUUAAGUCAAACCCAAUCAAAACAGAACAUGUUGCCGUGUUUAGGGCACCAAGUUUGACCUUUAAGCACUACAUUAAACUGCCCUGCUUGAGAAUGUUGUAGGUAAAUUCUCUUUGUAGGUGUGGCCUGCAGCGCCGCCUUAUGGAUCCCUCAUGUUAAUGGACUAAUGGAGACCACGACUUUUGGUAGAUCCACAAUGAGGAGCUUGAUGGGUUUGUCUUGACCUCAGUGCUGACCUCUGCAAGAGAUGAUGGCCAUUUCAGGAAAUGACAGAGGAUACCUAACCAUCACUCACCCAUGAAGUCAUGACACAGUUUGUGUUUGAGACAUCUUCAUGUUUUCUUUGAUAGAAGACAUAUUAAGACAUUCAUUGUCUUGAAACCGUAAUAAUAAUCAGUGUAUAUGUCAGAUCCCUGUUAGCCUUUCACAACUGACAAUAAUAAAAGCCAUCUCCAUAAUGAAAGAC